RNAcentral lists this ribosomal RNA (394 nucleotides) under Actinomyces viscosus. RNAcentral's name for it is "bacterial SSU rRNA". It matches the Rfam family "Bacterial small subunit ribosomal RNA", at positions 383 to 774 of the family's 1533-position model. The record is from RNAcentral. Lineage: Bacteria; Bacillati; Actinomycetota; Actinomycetes; Actinomycetales; Actinomycetaceae.
CUGAUGCAGCGACGCCGCGUGAGGGAUGGAGGCCUUCGGGUUGUAAACCUCUUUCGCCAGUGAAGCAGGCCUGCUCCUUGUGGGUGGGUUGACGGUAGCUGGAUAAGAAGCGCCGGCUAACUACGUGCCAGCAGCCGCGGUAAUACGUAGGGCGCGAGCGUUGUCCGGAAUUAUUGGGCGUAAAGAGCUCGUAGGCGGCUGGUCGCGUCUGUCGUGAAAUCCUCUGGCUUAACUGGGGGCUUGCGGUGGGUACGGGCCGGCUUGAGUGCGGUAGGGGAGACUGGAACUCCUGGUGUAGCGGUGGAAUGCGCAGAUAUCAGGAAGAACACCGGUGGCGAAGGCGGGUCUCUGGGCCGUUACUGACGCUGAGGAGCGAAAGCGUGGGGAGCGAACA